This 738-nucleotide ribosomal RNA is filed under the name Triticum aestivum (bread wheat). RNAcentral describes it as "partial small subunit ribosomal RNA". The record is from RNAcentral. Lineage: Eukaryota; Viridiplantae; Streptophyta; Magnoliopsida; Poales; Poaceae.
AUGAAAAUCCUUCCGUUGGGGGUUUAUGAUGCCAUCUUGGGCAUGGACUGGCUCGAAGAGCACAGCCCCAUGAAUGUGGAUUGGCGCGGCAAGCAGCUCUGGAUCACCACUCCGACAGGGACAGUGCACCUUCAGGGCCAGAUUGAGGGGGUUACGAGCUGCACGGAGAUCAACAGUCUGCAGCCACAAUGCAUGCAACGUCAGGGAGAGGUGGCACAGGUCGUGCAGCUGUACCAGGUUUGCGAGUCGGAUGAGAUCUUCACCCCAACCCUAGGCAACAUCCAGGCGGUGAUUGAUCAAUUCAAGGACAUCUUUGAGGAACCCAAAGGUUUACCGCCAAGGCGCGCGUGCGAUCACCGCAUUCCACUCAUGCCAGGAGCGCAACCGGUGAAUUUGAGGCCUUACCGUUACAAACCAGAGCACAAGUCAGAGAUUGAGAAGCAAGUUAAAGAGCUGUUGGAUCAGGGCGUCAUUCAGAAGAGUCAUAGUCCCUUUUCUUCACCGGUGAUUCUGGUCAAGAAGAAGGAGGGAACAUGGCGGCUUUGCAUCGAUUACCGCCACUUGAACGCUAUGACAGUGGUGGGCAAGUACCUGGUGCCGGUGAUCGAGGAGCUAUUGGACGAGCUGCAUGGUGCUCGAUGGUUCUCAAAACUGGAUUUAUGUAGGCUACCACCAGAUUCGCCUGGCAGAGGGGGAGGAGUACAAGACGGCCUUUCAAACCCAUGCAGGUCAUUUUGA